CCUACGGGCGGCUGCAGUGGGGAAUAUUGCACAAUGGGCGCAAGCCUGAUGCAGCCAUGCCGCGUGUGUGAAGAAGGCCUUCGGGUUGUAAAGCACUUUCAGCGGGGAGGAAGGCGGUGAGGUUAAUAACCUCAUCGAUUGACGUUACCCGCAGAAGAAGCACCGGCUAACUCCGUGCCAGCAGCCGCGGAAAUACGGAGGGUGCAAGCGUUAAUCGGAAUUACUGGGCGUAAAGCGCACGCAGGCGGUCUGUCAAGUCGGAUGUGAAAUCCCCGGGCUCAACCUGGGAACUGCAUUCGAAACUGGCAGGCUAGAGUCUUGUAGAGGGGGGUAGAAUUCCAGGUGUAGCGGUGAAAUGCGUAGAGAUCUGGAGGAAUACCGGUGGCGAAGGCGGCCCCCUGGACAAAGACUGACGCUCAGGUGCGAAAGCGUGGGGAGCAAACAGGAUUAGAUACCCUGGUAGUC
This 465-nucleotide ribosomal RNA is filed under the name uncultured Klebsiella sp. Its description in RNAcentral is "bacterial SSU rRNA". It matches the Rfam family "Bacterial small subunit ribosomal RNA", at positions 338 to 795 of the family's 1533-position model. Lineage: Bacteria; Pseudomonadati; Pseudomonadota; Gammaproteobacteria; Enterobacterales; Enterobacteriaceae. The record is from RNAcentral.